RNAcentral lists this ribosomal RNA (1277 nucleotides) under Cortinarius spilomeus. RNAcentral's name for it is "eukaryotic LSU rRNA". The stretch from base 604 to 1277 matches the Rfam family "Eukaryotic large subunit ribosomal RNA", at positions 1 to 659 of the family's 3401-position model. Lineage: Eukaryota; Fungi; Basidiomycota; Agaricomycetes; Agaricales; Cortinariaceae. The record is from RNAcentral.
GAAAUAAACCUGAUGGGUUGUUGCUGGUUCUCUAUGGGGACAUGUGCACGCCCGUCAUCUUUAUAUCUCCACCUGUGCACACUUUGUAGACCUGGGUAGCUUUCUGAAUGCCUUUUGGUGUUCAGGUUUGAGGACUGACUAUCCUUGUCUCUCCUUACAAUUUCCAGGUCUAUGUUUUCUUCAUAUACCCCAAUGUAUGUUAUAGAAUGUAAUUAAUGGGCCUUUGUGCCUAUAAACCUAUACAACUUUCAGCAACGGAUCUCUUGGCUCUCGCAUCGAUGAAGAACGCAGCGAAAUGCGAUAAGUAAUGUGAAUUGCAGAAUUCAGUGAAUCAUCGAAUCUUUGAACGCACCUUGCGCUCCUUGGUAUUCCGAGGAGCAUGCCUGUUUGAGUGUCAUUAAUAUAUCAACCUCUUUAGCUUUUGCUAAUUGAGUGUUGGAUGUGGGGGAAUUUUGCUGGUCUCUUUUUAAACGAGGUCAGCUCCCCUAAAAUGCAUUAGCGGAACAUUUGUUGACCGUUCAUUGGUGUGAUAACUAUCUACGCUAUUGACGUGAGGCAGUUCAGCUUCUAACAGUCCAUUGACUUGGACAAUUUUCAUUAAUGUGACCUCAAAUCAGGUAGGACUACCCGCUGAACUUAAGCAUAUCAAUAAGCGGAGGAAAAGAAACUAACAAGGAUUCCCCUAGUAACUGCGAGUGAAGCGGGAAAAGCUCAAAUUUAAAAUCUGUCAGUCUUUGGCUGAUCGAGUUGUAAUCUAGAGAAGUGUUAUCCGCGCUGGACCGUGUACAAGUCUCCUGGAAUGGAGCGUCAUAGAGGGUGAGAAUCCCGUCUUUGACACGGACUGCCAGGGCUUUGUGAUGCGCUCUCAAAGAGUCGAGUUGUUUGGGAAUGCAGCUCAAAAUGGGUGGUAAAUUCCAUCUAAAGCUAAAUAUUGGCGAGAGACCGAUAGCGAACAAGUACCGUGAGGGAAAGAUGAAAAGAACUUUGGAAAGAGAGUUAAACAGUACGUGAAAUUGCUGAAAGGGAAACGCUUGAAGUCAGUCGCGUUGUCCAGGAAUCAACCUUGCUUUUGCUUGGUGUACUUUCUGGUUGACGGGUCAGCAUCAAUUUUGAUCAUUGGAAAAAGAUUAGGGGAAUGUGGCAUCUUUGGAUGUGUUAUAGCCCUUGGUUGCAUACAAUGGUUGGGAUUGAGGAACUCAGCACGCCGCAAGGCCGGGUUUUAACCACGUACGUGCUUAGGAUGCUGGCAUAAUGGCUUUAAUCGACCCGUCUUGAAA